RNAcentral lists this non-coding RNA (214 nucleotides) under Aurantiochytrium limacinum. Lineage: Eukaryota; Bigyra; Thraustochytrida; Thraustochytriidae. The record is from RNAcentral.
AAAAGAAGAAAAGGAAAAAAAAAAGAAGAGGCCGAAAACGAGUUGCAAGUGGUUUUAAAAGAAGAGGUUUGAGAGUUUUAAUUUUUUGGGGGGUUUCUCUUUUCUUUUCCUUUUUCUUUUUUCUUUUUUCUUUUUUCUUUUCUUUUUGUUUGAAUAAAACUUUUUGAGUUGAACAACAAAAGUCUUUCACCUUCAUUUAGUUUAAAUCUUUUUG